RNAcentral lists this ribosomal RNA (478 nucleotides) under uncultured bacterium. Its description in RNAcentral is "partial 16S ribosomal RNA". It matches the Rfam family "Bacterial small subunit ribosomal RNA", at positions 28 to 523 of the family's 1533-position model. The record is from RNAcentral.
GACGAACGCUGGCGGCGUGCUUAACACAUGCAAGUCGAGCGGUAAGGCCCUUCGGGGUACACGAGUGGCGAACGGGUGAGUAACACGUGGGUGAUCUGCCCUGCACUUCGGGAUAAGCCUGGGAAACUGGGUCUAAUACCGGAUAGGACCCUGGGAUGCAUGUCCUGGGGUGGAAAGCUUUUGCGGUGUGGGAUGGGCCCGCGGCCUAUCAGCUUGUUGGUGGGGUGAUGGCCUACCAAGGCGACGACGGGUAGCCGGCCUGAGAGGGUGACCGGCCACACUGGGACUGAUAUACGGCCCAGACUCCUACGGGAGGCAGCAGUGGGGAAUAUUGCACAAUGGGCGCAAGCCUGAUGCAGCGACGCCGCGUGAGGGAUGACGGCCUUCGGGUUGUAAACCUCUUUCAGCACCGACGAAGCGCAAGUGACGGUAGGUGCAGAAGAAGGACCGGCCAACUACGUGCCAGCCGCCGCUGUAA